CCGCUUGCGGGGGUGAUUAGUGGCGAACGGGUGAGUAAUACGUGAGUAACCUGCCCUUGACUCUGGGAUAAGCCUGGGAAACCGGGUCUAAUACUGGAUACUACUCCUUAUCGCAUGGUGGGGGGUGGAAAGGGUUUUACUGGUUUUGGAUGGGCUCACGGCCUAUCAGCUUGUUGGUGGGGUAAUGGCUCACCAAGGCGACGACGGGUAGCCGGCCUGAGAGGGUGACCGGCCACACUGGGACUGAGACACGGCCCAGACUCCUACGGGAGGCAGCAGUGGGGAAUAUUGCACAAUGGGCGGAAGCCUGAUGCAGCGACGCCGCGUGAGGGAUGACGGCCUUCGGGUUGUAAACCUCUUUCAGCAGGGAAGAAGCCACAAGUGACGGUACCUGCAGAAGAAGCGCCGGCUAACUACGUGCCAGCAGCCGCGGUAAUACGUAGGGCGCAAGCGUUGUCCGGAAUUAUUGGGCGUAAAGAGCUCGUAGGCGGUUUGUCGCGUCUGCUGUGAAAGCCCGGGGCUCAACCCCGGGUCUGCAGUGGGUACGGGCAGACUAGAGUGCAGUAGGGGAGACUGGAAUUCCUGGUGUAGCGGUGAAAUGCGCAGAUAUCAGGAGGAACACCGAUGGCGAAGGCAGGUCUCUGGGCUGUUACUGACGCUGAGGAGCGAAAGCAUGGGGAGCGAACAGGAUUAGAUACCCUGGUAGUCCAUGCCGUA
RNAcentral lists this ribosomal RNA (717 nucleotides) under Kocuria sp. W11. RNAcentral's name for it is "bacterial SSU rRNA". It matches the Rfam family "Bacterial small subunit ribosomal RNA", at positions 76 to 804 of the family's 1533-position model. The record is from RNAcentral. Lineage: Bacteria; Bacillati; Actinomycetota; Actinomycetes; Micrococcales; Micrococcaceae.